Molecule: ribosomal RNA, 253 nt
Filed under: uncultured bacterium
Lineage: Bacteria
Description: partial 16S ribosomal RNA
Rfam family: Bacterial small subunit ribosomal RNA
Source: RNAcentral
GACGAACCGUGCAAACGUUGUUCGGAAUCACUGGGCUUAAAGGGCGCGUAGGCGGAUGAGCAAGUCUAUGGUGAAAUCCCCCGGCUUAACCGGGGAACUGCCGUGGAUACUGCCCAUCUCGAGGAAGAUAGGGGCGUCUGGAACUAGCGGUGGAGCGGUGAAAUGCGUUGAUAUCGCUAGGAACUCCGGUGGCGAAGGCGAGACGCUGGAUCUUUUCUGACGCUGAGGCGCGAAAGCCAGGGGAGCGAACGGG